AUUGAUAUUAAACCAGUUCACUUGUAGUAUAAGAAUCUUCCCCAGCCUGGCCAAUAUGGUGAAACCCCGCCUCUACUAAAAAUACAAAAAAAAAAAAAUUAGCCAGGUGUGGUGGUGCUCGCCUGUAGUCUCAGCUACUUGGGAGGCUGAGGCAGAAGAUUGCUUGAACCUGGAAGCAGAGGUUGCAGUGAGCUGAGAUCGUGCCAGCCUAGGCAACAGAGC
This 222-nucleotide long non-coding RNA is filed under the name Homo sapiens (human). RNAcentral describes it as "HSALNT0003880". The record is from RNAcentral. Lineage: Eukaryota; Metazoa; Chordata; Mammalia; Primates; Hominidae.